UACGUAGGGGGCAAGCGUUGUCCUGAUUUAUUGGGCGUAAAGAGCGUGUAGGCGGCCACACAGGUCCGCUGUGAAAACUCGAGGCUCAACCUCGAGCUGUCGGUGGAAACCGUGUGGCUAGAGUCCGGAAGAGGAGAGUGGAAUUCCCGGUGUAGCGGUGAAAUGCGCAGAUAUCGGGAAGAACACCCGUGGCGAAGGCGGCUCUCUGGGCCGAUACUGACGCUGAGGAGCGAAAGCGUGGGGAGCGAACAGG
RNAcentral lists this ribosomal RNA (253 nucleotides) under uncultured bacterium. RNAcentral's name for it is "partial 16S ribosomal RNA". It matches the Rfam family "Bacterial small subunit ribosomal RNA", at positions 524 to 776 of the family's 1533-position model. The record is from RNAcentral.